Molecule: ribosomal RNA, 412 nt
Filed under: Aqaballianassa aqabaensis
Lineage: Eukaryota; Metazoa; Arthropoda; Malacostraca; Decapoda; Callianassidae
Description: partial small subunit ribosomal RNA
Rfam family: Microsporidia small subunit ribosomal RNA
Source: RNAcentral
AUUCCGUGCCCAAUUAAUAUAAAAAUACCGAAUUACUAAAAGCUAUGAUCUCUAAAAUUAAAGGAUUUGGCGGUAAUUUAGUCCAGUUAGAGGAACCUGUGCUGUAAACGAUGAACCCCGCAGUAUCUUACCUAUCUUCAGCAGUUUGUAUACCGUCAUUAUUAGGUAACUUUUAGAAAAUUCAAGUUAUUGUAAUAGAAAAUAUUUUCUAAUAUAUUAGAUCAUGGCGCAGCUUAUAUUUAGGAUUUACAUGGGUUACAAUAAACCUUAUUUAUACGGAUAGAAAUUUUAAACAGUUUCUUGAAGGAGGAUUUAAUAGUAAAUUUAAUUUAAUAAGUUAAAUUGAUAGAGGACCUAAAUUGUGUACAAAUCGCCCGUCACUUCCACUAUCAUGGAAUAAGUCGUAACAUAG